AUACGUAGGGGGCGAGCGUUGUCCGGAAUGAUUGGGCGUAAAGGGCGCGUAGGCGGCGCGGUAAGUCUGGAGUGAAAGUCCUGCUUUCAAGGUGGGAAUUGCUUUGGAUACUGCCGCGCUUGAGUGCAGGAGAGGUUAUCGGAAUUCCCGGUGUAGCGGUGAAAUGCGUAGAGAUCGGGAGGAACACCAGUGGCGAAGGCGGCUAACUGGACUGCAACUGACGCUGAGGCGCGAAAGUGUGGGGAGCAAACAGGAUUAGAUACCCUGGUAGUCCACACUGUAAACGAUGAAUGCUAGGUGUAAGAGGUAUCGACCCCUUUUGUGCCGGAGUCAACACAAUAAGCAUUCCGCCUGGGGAGUACGGCCGCAAGGUUGAAACUCAAAUGAAUUGACGGGG
Molecule: ribosomal RNA, 397 nt
Filed under: uncultured bacterium
Lineage: Bacteria
Description: partial 16S ribosomal RNA
Rfam family: Bacterial small subunit ribosomal RNA
Source: RNAcentral